Molecule: non-coding RNA, 30 nt
Filed under: Mus musculus (house mouse)
Lineage: Eukaryota; Metazoa; Chordata; Mammalia; Rodentia; Muridae
Source: RNAcentral
UUCACAUUGGCCAACGGCCUGAAUUGCCUU